RNAcentral lists this unclassified non-coding RNA (430 nucleotides) under Hevea brasiliensis (rubber tree). The record is from RNAcentral. Lineage: Eukaryota; Viridiplantae; Streptophyta; Magnoliopsida; Malpighiales; Euphorbiaceae.
UGAAAAUCCUAGCCGUGUUGUAGAUUUGGUGUGAACUGGGGGCCGGUUUUUGGUUGGCAAGUGGAAUCGUCCGGGUGGCAGAGAGGAGCGGCGAGUUGGGAUUAGAGGAGUCGUCAUCAGAAACGAAGUGGCGACUGUAAACAGCAGCGUCAACAGAGGAGCCGCAGUUGAUAAGAUGAUUAUCGGUAGGGGAGAAGGAGGACAGGGAGAGGGCAGAGACUAGAGUGAGACAGAGGAAAAAGAAGGAGAGAGUAAGGUUUGUGCGUGGAAUCUCCAUGAAAGAGGAAUUGAGGUAAUUGAAUUGGAGAAUGAAGAGUUAAAAGAAGCGGGUAAAGGGUUCUUUGGUUUUGUGCUUUGUGCGUAACAGAAGCCGAGUCAGCGAGAAGACCUGCGUUUCGGAGUCUGCGCGUUCGGACAAUCUGUAGAGCAC